Molecule: ribosomal RNA, 473 nt
Filed under: uncultured Smithella sp.
Lineage: Bacteria; Pseudomonadati; Thermodesulfobacteriota; Syntrophia; Syntrophales; Smithellaceae
Description: bacterial SSU rRNA
Rfam family: Bacterial small subunit ribosomal RNA
Source: RNAcentral
UUGACGGGGCCCGCACAAGCGGUGGAGCAUGUGGUUUAAUUCGAUGCAACGCGAAGAACCUUACCUGGGCUUGACAUCCCGAGAAUCCCCUGGAAACAGGGGAGUGCCUUUCGGGGAACUCGGAGACAGGUGCUGCAUGGGCUGUCGUCAGCUCGUGUCGUGAGAUGUUGGGUUAAGUCCCGCAACGAGCGCAACCCUUGUCUUUAAUUGCCAGCAUUCAGUUGGGCACUUUAAAGAGACUGCCGGUGUUAAACCGGAGGAAGGUGGAGAUGACGUCAAGUCCUCAUGGCCUUUAUGCUUAGGGCUACACACGUGCUACAAUGGGUGGUACAAAGAGAAGCCAACUCGCGAGAGCGCGCCAAUCUCAAAAAGCCAUCCUCAGUUCGGAUUGGAGUCUGCAACUCGACUCCAUGAAGUUGGAAUCGCUAGUAAUCGCGGAUCAGCAUGCCGCGGUGAAUACGUUCCCGGGCCUU